This 254-nucleotide ribosomal RNA is filed under the name uncultured bacterium. RNAcentral's name for it is "partial 16S ribosomal RNA". It matches the Rfam family "Bacterial small subunit ribosomal RNA", at positions 524 to 777 of the family's 1533-position model. The record is from RNAcentral.
UACAGAGGGUGCGAGCGUUAAUCGGAAUUACUGGGCGUAAAGCGUGCGUAGACGGCUAUCUAAGUCGGGUGUGAAAGCCCCGGGCUCAACCUGGGAAUUGCAUUCGAGACUGAAUAGCUAGGGUACGGUAGAGGGAAGCGGAAUUCCCGGUGUAGUGGUGAAAUGCGUAGAUAUCGGGAGGAACACCAGUGGCGAAGGCGACUUCCUGGCCUGUUCUUGACGCUGAGGCGCGAAAGCUAGGGGAGCAAACGGGG